UAAUACGUUCCGAGCUGACGCAUUUCAACGCUAUAUAUCGGGAUUUUCACUAACCAGCAAUCAUUUUUUCUAAAGUUUCGCUUUAAAGUUUUCUUUAUUUUGCUUUGUUGUUUGCUUACAGUUGUAGCAUUACAACCACUUGAAUAAGUAAUUUUUUUCAUUGAAUCUGUCUGUAUAUUUCUCAAUUCCCUAUACUGUAGGAAAAAAAUAUAGUAUUCAGCUCUUUUCUUUAUAUUCUAUUUUCUGGAAAGGAAAAUUCUAUUCAGAAACUGAAGGGAAAGUUUAGAAGGGCCAUAAAACCAUAAACAAACAUAAGAAUUAUCGGGAUAUAUUGGUGCAAUAAAAACCCUUUGUGCAGUGUCGGGACCCUUUGAAGAAUUUCGGAUUCCUAUGUAAACAUAUGCGAUAUACCAUAAAAGAGAUAAUAUUCCGAUGUUCCAGAUCAAGUUUCUUUAUGCAUAGUUUCCGUUACCAAAAACUAUAGGCUGUACCCAUCGGUGGACUAUGGGAUGGAUCCUUAUGAUAUUGGUCAAUAAGAUUUAUAAUCUCCUUCCCUCUCCAAAGGGGUGUAGCUCAUUUCUGAUAUAAAUAUGUGGAAAGAAAAUGGAUUUUGAUAAAAAAUGCAUUAAUUGUAACAGAUAUUUGCGAAAAACAGUUGGAUAUA
This is a long non-coding RNA of Polistes dominula (European paper wasp), 664 nucleotides long. The record is from RefSeq and is a predicted model, not a curated record. Lineage: Eukaryota; Metazoa; Arthropoda; Insecta; Hymenoptera; Vespidae.